UUUCAUUGGAGAGUUUGAUCCUGGCUCAGGACGAACGCUGGCGGCGUGCUUAACACAUGCAAGUCGAACGGAAAGGCCC
Molecule: ribosomal RNA, 79 nt
Filed under: Cutibacterium acnes
Lineage: Bacteria; Bacillati; Actinomycetota; Actinomycetes; Propionibacteriales; Propionibacteriaceae
Description: partial 16S ribosomal RNA
Rfam family: Bacterial small subunit ribosomal RNA
Source: RNAcentral